AGCGAACGCUGGCGGCGUGCUUAACACAUGCAAGUCGAACGUGAAAUGUAGCAAUACAGAGUAAAGUGGCGUACGGGUGAGUAACACGUGGGUAAUCUACCAAAGAGCCUGGAAUAACCGACCGAAAGGUUGGCUAAUACUGGAUAGUUCAAAUGAAAUAUAAUGUUUCGAUUGGGAAAGGGAGCGAGCAAUCGCAUUCAAUUGUUGAUGAGCCCGCGUCUGAUUAGCUAGUUGGUAGGGUAAUGGCCUACCAAGGCGACGAUCAGUAGCUGGUCUGAGAGGAUGAUCAGCCACACUGGAACUGAAACACGGUCCAGACUCCUACGGGAGGCAGCAGUGGGGAAUCUUGCGCAAUGGACGAAAGUCUGACGCAGCCACGCCGCGUGAGUGAAGAAGGCCUUCGGGUUGUAAAGUUCUGUCGGAAGGGACAAAAACGUUUAAGGUUAAUAGCCUUAGAUCUUGAUGGUACCUUCAAAGGAGGCACCGGCUAACUUCGUGCCAGCAGCCGCAGUAA
Molecule: ribosomal RNA, 514 nt
Filed under: uncultured bacterium
Lineage: Bacteria
Description: partial 16S ribosomal RNA
Rfam family: Bacterial small subunit ribosomal RNA
Source: RNAcentral